CGAAAACCGGUAACGCCGUCGUCUGCUUUCGGCCGCCGACGCGGACCGCCGACUUGACAGCGUUGCCAGCUCACCUUUAAAGUAUUUAUUGGCCUUCUCCUUGAGUAGCUCGGCAUCGUUUACUCCCUCCGCCAUCUUCUUCACGCUGCCGUAAUCCGACGCGUACGCCAUUGACGGACUGUCGCAAAGGUCGCAAAGUUGUGGCAUGAGUUUUCUUGCUCGCGUCGAACAAUCUGUUUUAAGAUUUGUUUUCUUUUGAUGAAUAGUUACAAAAUUAGCCUAAACAGGCAUCAUUUUACUAAAAUGGAAUGCGUGUGCAAGCUAACAUUACUUAACACAACAGACGACGCUACAGGAUGGCUUCUGGUGCCUUCAGGCAUGAGGAUGUUGCUCUGGAAAUUUCCUGCCAUCUGAGCUCAGCGGGUAGCUGCCGGCCUCCACAGAUGUCAGAGUAAAGGGGACAAACAAAGUGCAGGUUAUAGUGAAUUCCCUGGAUUACUGCAACUCCCUCCUCCUUGGCCUCCCUCAAAAGACCCUACAUAAACUGCAACUGGUCCAGAAUUCAGCGCUCGCAUUAUAACCCGUACCCCAUUCAUCCACCACAUCACUCCAGUUCUCUGCCAGCUCCAUUGGCUCCCGGUCCGCUUCCGCAUCAAGUUCAAAGUUCUCCUCCUCACAUUCAAGGCCAUCCACAACCUUGCCCUUGCCCUCCCUACCUGUCCAACCUCCUCCAAUUCACAAUGCCCUCCCGUGCCCAUACUGUAGGUCCUCCACCUCCAUACACUUGUCUGUCCCCCUCCCGCUCGCCUCAUCACUACCACCCGACCUCAGGAACACAAACUCACUCCCCCUUUUUCAAUCGGAACUCAAAACUCACCUGUUCAGACUCGCAUAUCCAUAAUAAUCCCUGAUUUGUGUUAUACUGUUCUGCUAAUUAUUUUCAUAGAUUAGUAUUUUAUUGUUUUGAAAAAUCUAUACUUAAUUAUUUUUAGUCUUUCGUCAUUAUUGUAGUUUUUAGCCUUUGUCUAAUCGUUUUUUAAACGACCCUGAGUGCCAGAAAGGGGCCUUCAAAUAAAAUGUAUUAUUAUGAAUUUCACGUUAAUCCUGCAAUUCCACCAGGAAGGCUAAUGUUUCAAUCUUUUCGUGUCCAAUACACAUACAUGGCAAGUGACACACUGUUGCCUAGAAUUAAAUCGUUUGCCAAAAACAUAACGCAACCUUAGGUGGAGAGGUUCGCUUUUCCACUGCCAGAACUCCACUGCACAGACUAAUGAGAGUGGCGCCUGAAAAGGAAAAGGAGACUUCUGAUUUAAAUGUUUGUGGCUUUCUUCUUUAAUGAGGAGACUGUGUUUCAUACAUUACUGCGACAUGAAGGAGUAUAGCCUAAUCCGCUCUCCUUGCUCUGAUUCACAAAGAGCAUCCAAGAGUCAAGUGUGAGUGGCCAGGGAGUCAGGUGAGUCACCACCGGUGACCCCCCGGUGAACACUUAGUAACCAUGCAGUGUGAUUACACUUUCCCUUUACCCAUAAGAGCGAUGACUCGUGUCUCCCUCCGAGUCAUGUAAGAAGAUGUGUUGAAAGUACUUUCACUGUAUGCUAGGCCUGCCGAUUUUAAGCCUGAGGUCAUAGAUUAAAAAAAAAAAAUAUAUAUAUAUAUAUACACAGUAUAUAUCAAAGUGAUACUUCCUCUUUUUGAAUCGCUAAAUGUGGUGGAAAUGCAACUUAACUAU
Molecule: long non-coding RNA, 1729 nt
Organism: Corythoichthys intestinalis (scribbled pipefish)
Lineage: Eukaryota; Metazoa; Chordata; Actinopteri; Syngnathiformes; Syngnathidae
Exons: 3
Source: RefSeq, a predicted model, not a curated record